This 468-nucleotide ribosomal RNA is filed under the name uncultured bacterium. RNAcentral's name for it is "partial 16S ribosomal RNA". It matches the Rfam family "Bacterial small subunit ribosomal RNA", at positions 28 to 507 of the family's 1533-position model. The record is from RNAcentral.
GACCACCGCUGGCGGCGUGUUCAACACAUCCAAGUCGAACCGAAAGGCCCUGCUGUUGUUUUGUUCUAGAGUGGCGAACGGGUUAGUAACACGUGAGUAACCUACCCUUGACUUUGAGAUAACUUCAGGGAACUGGGGCUAAUACCGGCUAGGAGCUCCUGCUUCAUGGUGGGUGUUGGAAAGUUUCGGCGGUUGUGGAUGGACUCGCGGCUUAUCAGCUUGUUGGUGGGGUAGUGGCUUACCAAGGCUUUGACGGGUAGCCGGCCUGAGAGGGUGACCGGCCACAUUGGGACUGAGAUACGGCCCAGACCCCUACGGGAGGCAGCAGUGGGGAAUAUUGCACAAUGGGCGGAAGCCUGAUGCAGCAACGCCGCGUGCGGGAUGAAGGCAUUCGGGUUGUAAACCGCUUUAGCCUGUGACGAAGCGUGAGUGACGGUAAUGGGUAAAGAAGCACCGGCUAACUACGUG